GCGGGUGUAGUUCAGUGGUAGAAUGCAAGCUUCCCAAGCUUGUUAUGGCGGUUCGAUUCCGCUCGCCCGCU
This 71-nucleotide transfer RNA is filed under the name Candidatus Omnitrophota bacterium. RNAcentral describes it as "tRNA-Gly". It matches the Rfam family "tRNA". From Rfam's summary of the family: Transfer RNA (tRNA) molecules are approximately 80 nucleotides in length. Their secondary structure includes four short double-helical elements and three loops (D, anti-codon, and T loops). Lineage: Bacteria; Pseudomonadati; Candidatus Omnitrophota. The record is from RNAcentral.